Molecule: ribosomal RNA, 253 nt
Filed under: uncultured bacterium
Lineage: Bacteria
Description: partial 16S ribosomal RNA
Rfam family: Bacterial small subunit ribosomal RNA
Source: RNAcentral
UACGUAGGGUGCGAGCGUUGUCCGGAAUUAUUGGGCGUAAAGAGCUUGUAGGCGGUUUGUCGCGUCUGCCGUGAAAGCCCAGGGCUUAACCCUGGGUCUGCGGUGGGUACGGGCAGACUAGAGUGCGGUAGGGGUGACUGGAAUUCCUGGUGUAGCGGUGGAAUGCGCAGAUAUCAGGAGGAACACCGAUGGCGAAGGCAGGUCACUGGGCCGCAACUGACGCUGAGGAGCGAAAGCGUGGGGAGCAAACAGG